CAUAAUCUAAAAUUAAAUUAUGAACUUUUCAAAUAGGAAUCAACCAUAACAGUGGCUGCACUCGUAUCCAUUAUCCAACGGACAGCUCUUUAGUCUGUUCAAUAUUUCCGUAUUAUAGUUUUCGUUCGAGCGAUAUUGUCGUUCAUCGGCGUACUUUCCGUACUUCUAACAAACGGUGUCGAACGCGACUACAUUGUCGUGUGUACCUAAUGUGUGUGUGUACGUGUGUGUGUGUGUGUGUGUGCACGCGUGUGCACGUGUAUUAUAUCCUAUAGAUUCUCCCG
This is a non-coding RNA of Cinara cedri, 284 nucleotides long. The record is from the annotation of a GenBank genome assembly. NCBI's taxonomy places the organism in Eukaryota, Metazoa, Arthropoda, Insecta, Hemiptera, Aphididae.